UAGGGAAUCUUCGGCAAUGGACGAAAGUCUGACCGAGCAACGCCGCGCGAGUGAAGAAGGUUUUCGGAUCGUAAAACUCUGUUGUUAGAGAAGAACAAGGACGUUAGUAACUGAACGUCCCCUGACGGUAUCUAACCAGAAAGCCACGGCUAACUACGUGCCAGCAGCCGCGGUAAUACGUAGGUGGCAAGCGUUGUCCGGAUUUAUUGGGCGUAAAGCGAGCGCAGGCGGUUUCUUAAGUCUGAUGUGAAAGCCCCCGGCUCAACCGGGGAGGGUCAUUGGAAACUGGGAGACUUGAGUGCAGAAGAGGAGAGUGGAAUUCCAUGUGUAGCGGUGAAAAGCGUAGAUAUAUGGAGGAACACCAGUGGCGAAGGCGGCUCUCUGGUCUGUAACUGACGCUGAGGCUCGAAAGCGUGGGGAGCAAACAGG
RNAcentral lists this ribosomal RNA (429 nucleotides) under Gemmatimonadota bacterium. RNAcentral's name for it is "Gemmatimonadetes bacterium partial 16S ribosomal RNA". It matches the Rfam family "Bacterial small subunit ribosomal RNA", at positions 355 to 776 of the family's 1533-position model. The record is from RNAcentral. Lineage: Bacteria; Pseudomonadati; Gemmatimonadota.